AGCGGAUGAGAGGAGCUUGCUCCUCGAUUCAGCGGCGGACGGGUGAGUAAUGCCUAGGAAUCUGCCUAGUAGUGGGGGACAACGUUUCGAAAGGAACGCUAAUACCGCAUACGUCCUACGGGAGAAAGUGGGGGAUCUUCGGACCUCACGCUAUUAGAUGAGCCUAGGUCGGAUUAGCUAGUUGGUAGGGUAAAGGCCUACCAAGGCGACGAUCCGUAACUGGUCUGAGAGGAUGAUCAGUCACACUGGAACUGAGACACGGUCCAGACUCCUACGGGAGGCAGCAGUGGGGAAUAUUGGACAAUGGGCGAAAGCCUGAUCCAGCCAUGCCGCGUGUGUGAAGAAGGCCUUCGGGUCGUAAAGCACUUUAAGUUGGGAGGAAGGGCUCAUAGCGAAUACCUGUGAGUUUUGACGUUACCAACAGAAUAAGCACCGGCUAACUUCGUGCCAGCAGCCGCGGUAAUACGAAGGGUGCAAGCGUUAAUCGGAAUUACUGGGCGUAAAGCGCGCGUAGGUGGCUUGAUAAGUUGGAUGUGAAAUCCCCGGGCUCAACCUGGGAACUGCAUCCAAAACUGUCUGGCUAGAGUGCGGUAGAGGGUAGUGGAAUUUCCAGUGUAGCGGUGAAAUGCGUAGAUAUUGGAAGGAACACCAGUGGCGAAGGCGACUACCUGGACUGACACUGACACUGAGGUGCGAAAGC
Molecule: ribosomal RNA, 700 nt
Filed under: Pseudomonas sp. 2a
Lineage: Bacteria; Pseudomonadati; Pseudomonadota; Gammaproteobacteria; Pseudomonadales; Pseudomonadaceae
Description: bacterial SSU rRNA
Rfam family: Bacterial small subunit ribosomal RNA
Source: RNAcentral